AUAUUUGCUGGAAUGCUUUAUGCGUCAAAAGGAUUCGUCUGCCCAAGGAUGGGUCUGCGGCCUAUCAGGUAGUAGUGGGUGUAAUGUACCUACUAGCCAGCGACGGGUACGGGUUGUGAGAGCAAGAGCCCGGAGAUGGAUUCUGAGACAUGAAUCCAGGCCCUACGGGGCGCAGCAGGCGCGAAAACUUUACAAUGCGGGAAACCGUGAUAAGGGGACACCGAGUGCCAGCAUCAUAUGCUGGCUGUCCGGAUGUGUAAAAUACAUCCGUUAGCAAGGGCCGGGCAAGACCGGUGCCAGCCGCCGCGGUAACACCGGCGGCCCGAGUGGUGAUCGUGAUUAUUGGGUCUAAAGGGUCCGUAGCCGGUUUGGUCAGUCCUCCGGGAAAUCUGAUAGCUCAACUAUUAGGCUUUCGGGGGAUACUGCCAGACUUGGAACCGGGAGAGGUAAGAGGUACUACAGGGGUAGGAGUGAAAUCUUGUAAUCCCUGUGGGACCACCUGUGGCGAAGGCGUCUUACCAGAACGGGUUCGACGGUGAGGGACGAAAGCUGGGGGCACGAACCGGAUUAGAUACCCGGGUAGUCCCAGCCGUAAACGAUGCUCGCUAGGUGUCAGGCAUGGCGCGACCGUGUCUGGUGCCGCAGGGAAGCCGUGAAGCGAGCCACCUGGGAAGUACGGCCGCAAGGCUGAAACUUAUAGGAAUUGGCGGGGGAGCACAACAACGGGUGGAGCCUGCGGUUUAAUUGGACUCAACGCCGGACAACUCACCGGGGGCGACAGCAAUAUGUAGGCCAAGCUGAAGACUUUGCCUGAAUCGCUGAGAGGAGGUGCAUGGCCGUCGCCAGUUCGUACUGUGAAGCAUCCUGUUAAGUCAGGCAACGAGCGAGACCCGUGCCCACUGUUACCAGCAUGUCCUCCGGGACGAUGGGUACUCUGUGGGGACCGCCGAUGUUAAAUCGGAGGAAGGUGCGGGCCACGGUAGGUCAGUAUGCCCCGAAUCUCCCGGGCUACACGCGGGCUACAAUGGAUGGGACAAUGGGUCCCUCCCCUGAAAAGGGCUGGUAAUCUCACAAACCCAUUCGUAGUUCGGAUCGAGGGCUGUAACUCGCCCUCGUGAAGCUGGAAUCCGUAGUAAUCGCGUCA
RNAcentral lists this ribosomal RNA (1144 nucleotides) under Methanosarcina mazei. Its description in RNAcentral is "bacterial SSU rRNA". It matches the Rfam family "Archaeal small subunit ribosomal RNA", at positions 163 to 1305 of the family's 1478-position model. The record is from RNAcentral. Lineage: Archaea; Methanobacteriati; Methanobacteriota; Methanomicrobia; Methanosarcinales; Methanosarcinaceae.